RNAcentral lists this unclassified non-coding RNA (235 nucleotides) under uncultured Clavulinaceae. Its description in RNAcentral is "sequence contains ITS2". Lineage: Eukaryota; Fungi; Basidiomycota; Agaricomycetes; Cantharellales; Hydnaceae. The record is from RNAcentral.
AAUUUCUCAAGCUCUGGAUGGCCUUUGUCUGUCCUAAGCCUUGGUUGUUGGGCUUUGCCGUGUCCUUCAUUGGGACGGCUGGCCUUAAAAGCAUCAGCUGAUCUUUGUGGCACUGGUUCUACUCAGCGUGAUAACAGUCUGAUCGCUGAGGACAUCUUUUGGGAUGGCCAGUUUUCAUUUGGGUUGCUUCUAAACUUGGUUUCGCAGAUUCUUCAAUCUGUGUUCCACUUUUCAG